UACGGAGGGUGCGAGCGUUGUCCGGAAUCAUUGGGCGUAAAGGGCGCGUAGGCGGGCUGUCAAGUCUGGGGUGAAAUCCCGCGGCUCAACCGUGGAACUGCCUUAGAUACUGACGGCCUCGAGGGAGAUAGGGGCGAGCGGAACUGUGAGUGGAGCGGUGAAAUGCGUUGAUAUUCACAGGAACUCCGGUGGCGAAGGCGGCUCGCUGGAUCUUUUCUGACGCUGAGGAGCGAAAGCUAGGGGAGCAAACGGG
RNAcentral lists this ribosomal RNA (253 nucleotides) under uncultured bacterium. Its description in RNAcentral is "partial 16S ribosomal RNA". It matches the Rfam family "Bacterial small subunit ribosomal RNA", at positions 524 to 776 of the family's 1533-position model. The record is from RNAcentral.